Molecule: non-coding RNA, 74 nt
Organism: Apaloderma vittatum (bar-tailed trogon)
Lineage: Eukaryota; Metazoa; Chordata; Aves; Trogoniformes; Trogonidae
Source: Rfam
GGACUGGUUAGCUCAGUCAGUUGAGCGUGGGGCUAACAACGCCAAGGUUGCGGGCUUGAUUCCCGUUUCGUCCA